RNAcentral lists this ribosomal RNA (999 nucleotides) under uncultured bacterium. RNAcentral's name for it is "bacterial SSU rRNA". It matches the Rfam family "Bacterial small subunit ribosomal RNA", at positions 356 to 1376 of the family's 1533-position model. The record is from RNAcentral. RNAcentral also lists the same sequence under 1 other name.
GGGGAAUAUUGCACAAUGGAGGAAACUCUGAUGCAGCGAUGCCGCGUGAGGGAAGAAGGUUUUAGGAUUGUAAACCUCUGUCUUCAGGGACGAAAAAAGGACGGUACCUGAGGAGGAAGCUCCGGCUAACUACGUGCCAGCAGCCGCGGUAAUACGUAGGGAGCGAGCGUUGUCCGGAAUUACUGGGUGUAAAGGGAGCGUAGGCGGGAUCGCAAGUCAGAUGUGAAAACUAUGGGCUUAACCCAUAAACUGCAUUUGAAACUGUGGUUCUUGAGUGAAGUAGAGGUAAGCGGAAUUCCUAGUGUAGCGGUGAAAUGCGUAGAUAUUAGGAGGAACAUCAGUGGCGAAGGCGGCUUACUGGGCUUUAACUGACGCUGAGGCUCGAAAGCGUGGGGAGCAAACAGGAUUAGAUACCCUGGUAGUCCACGCCGUAAACGAUGAUUACUAGGUGUGGGGGGACUGACCCCUUCCGUGCCGCAGCAAACGCAAUAAGUAAUCCACCUGGGGAGUACGACCGCAAGGUUGAAACUCAAAGGAAUUGACGGGGGCCCGCACAAGCAGUGGAGUAUGUGGAUUAAUUCGAAGCAACGCGAAGAACCUUACCAGGUCUUGACAUCGUAUGCAUAGCUCAGAGAUGAGUGAAAUCUCUUCGGAGACAUAUAGACAGGUGGUGCAUGGUUGUCGUCAGCUCGUGUCGUGAGAUGUUGGGUUAAGUCCCGCAACGAGCGCAACCCUUACUGUUAGUUGCUACGCAAGAGCACUCUAGCAGGACUGCCGUUGACAAAACGGAGGAAGGUGGGGAUGACGUCAAAUCAUCAUGCCCCUUAUGACCUGGGCCUCACACGUACUACAAUGGCUGUAAACAGAGGGAAGCAAAGCCGCGAGGUAGAGCGAACCCCUAAAAGCAGUCUUAGUUCGGAUUGUAGGCUGCAACCCGCCUACAUGAAGUCGGAAUUGCUAGUAAUCGCAGAUCAGCAUGCUGCGGUGAAUACGUUCCCG